UCAAGGAAGAAGUUUUGACGGUACUUGAGGAAUAAGCAUCGGCUAACUUUGUGCCAGCAGCCGCGGUAAUACAGAGGAUGCAAGCGUUAUCCGGAAUCACUGGGCAUAAAGCGUCUGUAGGUUGUGUAGCAAGUCUGCUGUUAAAGACUAGGGCUUAACCCUAGGAAAGCAGUGGAAACUACUAUACUUGAGUGUGGUAGAGGUAGAGGGAAUUCCUGGUGUAGUGGUGAAAUGCGUAGAUAUUAG
Molecule: ribosomal RNA, 246 nt
Filed under: uncultured phototrophic eukaryote
Lineage: Eukaryota
Description: partial 16S ribosomal RNA
Rfam family: Bacterial small subunit ribosomal RNA
Source: RNAcentral